AGAGGUUCGAAGGCGAUCAGAUACCGCCCUAGUUCUAACCGUAAACUAUGCCUACUAGAUGUAUGAAUUAUUAGUUAUAAUAAUUUAUGCAUCUUCUCGGAAACGAAAGUCUUUCGGUUCCGGGGGAAGUAUGGUUGCAAAGCUGAAACUUAAAGGAAUUGACGGAAGGGCACCACCAGGAGUGGAGCCUGCGGCUUAAUUUGACUCAACACGGGAAAACUCACCCGGGCCGGACACUAUAAGGAUUGACAGAUUGAUAGCUCUUUCAUGAUUUAGUGGUUGGUGGUGCAUGGCCGUUCUUAGUUCGUGGAUAUGAUUUGUCUGGUUGAUUCCGAUAACGAGCGAGACUUUUAUGUUAUAUUAAAUAUUAUUAUUUUGUUUAUUUUAAUAUAAAUAAUUAAUAUUUUAAUAACAGAUUAAUAGUGUUUAACUAUUUGAGAGAGAGCGAUAACAGGUCUGUGAUGCCCUUAGAUGUCCGGGGCUGCACGCGCGCUACAAUGUAGUGAUCAUUAUGUUCCUGUUUAGAGAUAAAUGGGUAAACAUUGAAAACAUUACGUAACUGGGAAUGAAAAUUGCAAUUAUUUUUCAUGAACGAGGAAUUCCAAGUAAACGUAAGUCAUUAGCUUACAUUGAUUACGU
Molecule: ribosomal RNA, 639 nt
Filed under: Strongyloides stercoralis
Lineage: Eukaryota; Metazoa; Nematoda; Chromadorea; Rhabditida; Strongyloididae
Description: SSU rRNA
Rfam family: Eukaryotic small subunit ribosomal RNA
Source: RNAcentral